AGGACGAACGCUGGCGGCGUGCUUAACACAUGCAAGUCGAGCGGAAAGGCCCUUCGGGGUACUCGAGCGGCGAACGGGUGAGUAACACGUGGGCAACCUGCCCCUAGCUCUGGGAUAACUCCGGGAAACCGGUGCUAAUACCGGAUACGACUUCCUCCGGCAUCUGAGGAAGUGGAAAGUUUUUCGGCUAGGGAUGGGCCCGCGGCCUAUCAGCUUGUUGGUGGGUCACGGCCCACCAAGGCGACGACGGGUAGCCGG
RNAcentral lists this ribosomal RNA (258 nucleotides) under uncultured soil bacterium. RNAcentral describes it as "partial 16S ribosomal RNA". It matches the Rfam family "Bacterial small subunit ribosomal RNA", at positions 26 to 290 of the family's 1533-position model. The record is from RNAcentral.